Molecule: long non-coding RNA, 170 nt
Organism: Bombus impatiens (common eastern bumble bee)
Lineage: Eukaryota; Metazoa; Arthropoda; Insecta; Hymenoptera; Apidae
Exons: 3
Source: RefSeq, a predicted model, not a curated record
AAAAAUGUUCAAUCGUUCAAUGGGGAACGUUUUAUUUCAAAGUAUCUUCUAUUUAUCGGUUAUAUUCAAAAUGCUCUAACUGUCAAUUUUCAUACAAUUUUUACAAUUGUAAGAAGUUUAAGCUCCGGUCACCAACGACCACCGUGGCGUUCAAUGAGAUCAACGAGAUC